RNAcentral lists this ribosomal RNA (253 nucleotides) under uncultured bacterium. RNAcentral describes it as "partial 16S ribosomal RNA". It matches the Rfam family "Bacterial small subunit ribosomal RNA", at positions 524 to 776 of the family's 1533-position model. The record is from RNAcentral.
UACGAAGGGGGCUAGCGUUGCUCGGAAUCACUGGGCGUAAAGCGCACGUAGGCGGCUUUCUAAGUCAGGGGUGAAAUCCUGGAGCUCAACUCCAGAACUGCCUUUGAUACUGGAGAGCUUGAGUCCGGGAGAGGUGAGUGGAACUCCGAGUGUAGAGGUGAAAUUCGUAGAUAUUCGCAAGAACACCAGUGGCGAAGGCGGCUCACUGGCCCGGUACUGACGCUGAUGUGCGAAAGCGUGGGGAGCAAACAGG